AACGAAAUCAUCUCUUGUCUCAGACAAAAUUGCCGCCUUGCUUGACCAACUGAGGUACUAUCCCGGUUAAAAGGGGAAAAAUGGGGAAGUAAGGCAAGAUAAAGGUCAAAUUGUAAACGUGUUUCUCUUUUCUUGGAGUAAACCACAAAUUUGAAGAGUCGGAGACUGUGCAGUCUUCACUUCGGCUUGGCAUUCGUUUGAAAAGGAAUCAAAUGAAACAUGUACUGAACAAAGAACUGAUUCGCUUCAUAGUGCCUUAGGUGGGCUUCAAGAAAUGAUGUCUUUUAGAGCUGAUAUUUUAAAGAGGAACAGACAUAACAAUUGAGUUGAAGAUGACAAUAUACUCCUAGGACAAUAAAUAGCUGAGAAAAUUAUCGAAGGGUCAGCGAAAAAGUAAAUAAGAAAAACAAUUUACAAAAGGAAGAAAAUUAUGGAUAAAAGUUUCUGAAUCCUGAAAAUGACGAAGUGAAGAGAGCGAUGCACAUACUGCCCUCUAUAAUCCAUGUCAAAAAUCAAGUAAAAAAAUAUGCCCGUUAAACGUCACAAAUUAAAAUUGAAGCGAAGGAAACAAAACCCCAUCGAAAUCUUAAGAAUCACUACUGAGGAUUACUGGAUGGAAACGUAACAAACAGCGACUUUAGAGUUAUUGGAAACACCUUCAAGGUUUAUCAGAGCAAAAAGCAAUCACCAAUUUUUUAGAGAAUGAAAAAUCAGAAAAUCCACUCUAAUUAGGCUAAAAAGAUCCAGACUCUACAGACUAAGAUGGAAUAAGUACCUGAAACACACUGAAAAGAAAACGAGAAAUAGUAUCUGAAACAAGUUGAAAGAAAUAAGGCAAAAAUCCAGAGUCAAGCAUCAAUAAUGAUUCUAGAAGAGCAAGUUCCUCACCUCCUGACUCUGGAUUUUUCUCCCUCUGCCUCAAAGAGUUUAAUAGAAUUUGUGUGGCGCCAUCUAUUAGUGAAGUCUGUAGAAUUUUUAUUUGCGAUCGCUCUUUCUGCCUCAAAUGCAGCAAAAGGUAAGUUAUGUACAGGCUUUGGAGAUACUUAAAAGAACAUACAACUGAACUCUUGCUUAGUAACAACCCUUAUAUUAAGGAAAUAUAUAUAUGGAUUGGAAAACGAAACUUUAGAUAUUGAGUGCCAACUUGAAGACAUCAGAUUAUAAGCCAAACAAGUGUUGACCAGCUUGGAGGCGAAAAAGGUUUUAUGAUACAAUUAGAAUUAAUACAAGCAAACUGAAACCCCAACUGAAGUGCGACAGAAUGAAGAUACGGAAACAAAGAACAUUUUACUAAGUUUUCCUCCAGGCAGAGCUUAAAUAGAACAUUUUAUUCUCUUCUCAGCUGAAAAAGAAUUAGGAAUACUUUUUGAAGUAUGAGGGUUGAGAGAAACUGUGGUGAAGAUCACUGGCACACCCAAGAAACUUUCAAAGAUCCAUCUACACCAACUGCAUGAUAUCAAAGCACCAGAAAAAGAAGAAAAAAAUAUAGCACAAGGGCUGUAUUCCCCGGGCAGUGUAGAUCGAAGAAUGCUACCCACGAAGCUUUUGUAAAGAGCAGUCAUAUAUGAAUGCAAAGUAUGAAAUCUCCCUGCUAGAGGGAUUGAACACUGCUGCCUAUUCAUAAUUUUGCUUGCUAUUCACACCUUAAUAUUAAAAAGAAAAAUAUCAACAAAAAAAAUGGAGGGAAAAAUAUCGAUAAAAGAAAUCCGCGGUGAACUUUUUAUAAGCAUUUUUUAAACCAAUUUUGUCUGCUUUCCAA
This is a non-coding RNA of Parasteatoda tepidariorum (common house spider), 1759 nucleotides long. Lineage: Eukaryota; Metazoa; Arthropoda; Arachnida; Araneae; Theridiidae. The record is from RefSeq and is a predicted model, not a curated record.